GGGAGGGCGCUGUGCAGGACGCCGACACGAAAAGAUGAAGAGUUCAAUCCGUGCUGUCUGAACUCACAGUGUAGCGGGCGAGAUAGACGGGAAGAUCGGUAGGGUGGGAGAUGCCGGAAAGGCUUCCCGUGAAACUGGAUAAGAAAUCAAAAAUCUGGUGAAAUUGCCGGCAGGAGGGAGUUAAGGACAUUCCAGGCAGAGGCAAGUCCAGAUUCCUAAGAUGAGGACACAGCAUCCUGGGCCACUGUCACUAAUACAAAUUUGCCUCUGGAGGGACUCUACGGAAGAUAAUUCCCCUGAAAUUUGGAGAGUUGAAUUAAGCUAGGACUGAUUCUGGCUGGAAUUUGUGGUGGCUACGUACCCUAGAGGGCCUCAAGGAAACCCACGGUUCAAGACAACCCUGACAGAUUCUGGAGUCUAGAACAGAAAUGGAUUUGAACAUGGGCAAGGCCAACCACCCAGUUCACGGCCUGUGUACAGCAAAGAUUACAUUACAGCCUGAGAGCUAAGCCUGGAAGCUCUUUCAUCCAUCCGUUUGUCCAUCUAUCCAUCCAUCUGCUCAUCCAUCCCUCCAUCUGCUCAACAAAUGUUAGAGAAUCAAUCCUUGUGUCAGAUACUGGGGCUGCCCUCAAGGAGCUUUUGUAGAGUUCAGGGUACAGCCAGGUGGGGGAGACAGAUCACUAUAAAAACCUACCACUAUAAUCCAAAGGACAAGAGCAAAAAUAGUAAAGAGGAGAGAAGACCCAAAUUUGCCUGGUGGGUCAGAGACGGCUUUCUAGAAGAGGUAAAAAAUCUUCGGGGCUAUCACUUCACCUUGCCUGGUGGAUAAAGGGAGGACUUUCCAGAUACAGUGGACAGAAUGUGCAGAGGCAGGAGCCAUGAGUGGCAGAGGCAGGGGAGGGACUGCAGAGACAGGUUGGAGCCAAAGCACGAUGGCACUGGAGCCAUAGCCAAAGGAACAAACUGUGAGACCUGGGACUUGAAUUUGGAGGUGGUGAAAAGUGACAAGGUCUUCACAGAAGAGUGAUUUUUUCAACUUAGGGAAGGCUGACCCCAGACCAAUGCUGCCAAAGUGUGGUCUGUGGGCUGUUAGCAGUUCAUGACGAUGUAAGUACAGGAAUUGAGAGUAAGCAUUUAGAACACCUACAGCACUGUGAUAGUCAUUUUACUUUUUAA
This 1176-nucleotide long non-coding RNA is filed under the name Pan troglodytes (chimpanzee). RNAcentral describes it as "long non-coding RNA NONPTRT013510". The record is from RNAcentral. Lineage: Eukaryota; Metazoa; Chordata; Mammalia; Primates; Hominidae.